Molecule: long non-coding RNA, 1547 nt
Organism: Osmerus eperlanus (European smelt)
Lineage: Eukaryota; Metazoa; Chordata; Actinopteri; Osmeriformes; Osmeridae
Exons: 2
Source: RefSeq, a predicted model, not a curated record
GAGGCCCAGGCUUCUAAAGGACACCAACAGGUGGGAGGCCUCCGUAGAGGGGGGCGCGUCCGUUGGAUAGAUAAGACAGGGCGGCGAGGCCUAAUCUGGACACAAUCCACCGGCUCGACAUGGAGGAGGAUGGUACAUCGGAGAGAAAGAAGAGAGGAAAGGUUCAGAAACUACUGAGGGAAGGUUGAGGCAAUAGAAAUGGAUGACAGCGGUUGGCUGUGUAGCAUGAGGGAGAAGAUGAGGGAGUAGUUGAGUGAGGGAAGUUAGCAGACAGGAGUGAAGUUAGAGUGUCUUCAGGUUUUUACCUCAGUUUUAUUUAGUAUAGGCACUCUUACAGAGAUAUGUACUGUGUUCGUAUUGAGUGUAUUUUUCUUCACAGCUUCACAGCUUUUUAGGUUUUCUUUGUUGUUGUGAAUACUCUCUGUUUGACAUUGAUUUGGUUUCCUUCCAGUAUACAUUUGGGCUACCACUGGCACUAGGUCUUUAAUUCAGACAUCUGUUAAAGUAUAUCUGUUCCAUGGGAUUCUAUCCAGUAUUGUUGUAUCUUGGCUUCUGGUGAUCUAAUCCCUUGAUGUGUACUGUGUUUUGUGGGAGCAGGCGUUAGAAGAGUUGUUGGAUCUGUCUCUGGUUUACGAGGGAUACAACCCUCUCUGUCAGGACAGUACAGGAGGUAACACCUCUUACAGGUGAGGCCCAGUGUUGGGGGGUUCCUUUGGGGAGAACUCUGAGGCUAAUUUGGGAACUCAAAGGUGUUCUUCCUACCUUUGAAUUAAAUCUUUGAUCUUCACGUAACCAAGUGUGCUUGUUGAAGUUUCGUAGAAGUGGUGUUUUUUCUCUGUGGAAUUUGUGCAGGGAGUGACAAAUGUGAACGAUGACAGUUUAGGACUCAUUUUAAAAUAGAGCAAGUCAGGAAGAGGUUGGAAUGAUGUUCAGGCUUACUCUAUAACUCCAGUCAGUGUGUGGAGAUGAUUCCAGGGACACUCACAACGGAAUCACAACUAAGGUAGGCUAAGAGAAACAAGAGGACGUGAUGUCAUGUCUGACCAAUGAUGACUCUACACACAACUACCUUUAUGUCUCUCUUUCUUUGUCUAUUUCUCUCUCUCUCUCUGUCUGUCUCUGUUUCUCACUCAGUUCAUCCCUUUCUUUUACUAUUCUAUCUACUACUCAACGGCUUCUCUCUACCUUUUUCUUUCUUUCUUUCUUUCUCUCUCUUCUUUUUCUCUCUUUCUCGUACUCCCUCUCGUCCUGAAGCAACACGUCUUGCUGUCGCUGGUCAAAUGGAACCAAGUCAGGUGUUUCUGUGAGGUUUGGUCCCCUUCAACCAGCUACUGCGUCGUGAUUUCAGUCAGCAGCCAUUGGAGGGAACGAAAGAGUGCCGUAGCUCUGUCUCUGCAUGCUGGUGUGACAUAAUUCCUGUUAUUGUCUUUUCAAAUAUUUCUGUUAUAAUUUUUAUGUUGUACCUGUAAAAUAAAGAAUGAUUGACUUGUUGGAUGUUUUGAAUUAGCUUAAAUUUGUCUCUGAAUAAAAUAAUCAAAUCAUGAAAA